UGUUAAAAAAAUUAUCCAUUUGUACUCUUAAAAACUAACGUGACUAAUAAAACAACCAAAUAGUGAGAUGUAGCAUGCCAUAUGUACCUCGUGCUGAUGUACAUGAAAUAGCUUUUAAUAGUAGAAAUUGAAUGACGUUUUUAAUA
Molecule: microRNA precursor, 146 nt
Filed under: Gossypium hirsutum (cotton)
Lineage: Eukaryota; Viridiplantae; Streptophyta; Magnoliopsida; Malvales; Malvaceae
Description: MIR7502 microRNA precursor family
Rfam family: MIR7502 microRNA precursor family
Source: Rfam by way of RNAcentral